CGCGUAGGCGGCUGUGCAAGUCGGAGGUGAAAUCCCUCGGCUCAACCGAGGAACUGCCUCCGAUACUGCAUGGCUUGAGUCCCGGAGAGGGUAGCGGAAUUCCCAAUGUAGCGGUGAAAUGCGUAGAUAUUGGGAGGAACACCGGUGGCGAAGGCGGCUACCUGGACGGGUACUGACGCUGAGGCGCGAAAGCGUGGGGAGCAAACAGGAUUAGAUACCCUGGUAGUCC
RNAcentral lists this ribosomal RNA (229 nucleotides) under uncultured bacterium. Its description in RNAcentral is "partial 16S ribosomal RNA". It matches the Rfam family "Bacterial small subunit ribosomal RNA", at positions 568 to 796 of the family's 1533-position model. The record is from RNAcentral.